Molecule: ribosomal RNA, 690 nt
Filed under: Escherichia coli
Lineage: Bacteria; Pseudomonadati; Pseudomonadota; Gammaproteobacteria; Enterobacterales; Enterobacteriaceae
Description: partial 23S ribosomal RNA
Rfam family: Bacterial large subunit ribosomal RNA
Source: RNAcentral
CGGGUUGCGGACAGUGUCUGGUGGGUAGUUUGACUGGGGCGGUCUCCUCCUAAAGAGUAACGGAGGAGCACGAAGGUUGGCUAAUCCUGGUCGGACAUCAGGAGGUUAGUGCAAUGGCAUAAGCCAGCUUGACUGCGAGCGUGACGGCGCGAGCAGGUGCGAAAGCAGGUCAUAGUGAUCCGGUGGUUCUGAAUGGAAGGGCCAUCGCUCAACGGAUAAAAGGUACUCCGGGGAUAACAGGCUGAUACCGCCCAAGAGUUCAUAUCGACGGCGGUGUUUGGCACCUCGAUGUCGGCUCAUCACAUCCUGGGGCUGAAGUAGGUCCCAAGGGUAUGGCUGUUCGCCAUUUAAAGUGGUACGCGAGCUGGGUUUAGAACGUCGUGAGACAGUUCGGUCCCUAUCUGCCGUGGGCGCUGGAGAACUGAGGGGGGCUGCUCCUAGUACGAGAGGACCGGAGUGGACGCAUCACUGGUGUUCGGGUUGUCAUGCCAAUGGCACUGCCCGGUAGCUAAAUGCGGAAGAGAUAAGUGCUGAAAGCAUCUAAGCACGAAACUUGCCCCGAGAUGAGUUCUCCCUGACCCUUUAAGGGUCCUGAAGGAACGUUGAAGACGACGACGUUGAUAGGCCGGGUGUGUAAGCGCAGCGAUGCGUUGAGCUAACCGGUACUAAUGAACCGUGAGGCUUAACCUU